GACGAACGCUGGCGGCGUGCCUAAUACAUGCAAGUCGAGCGGAGUCUCGGCGAGUGCUUGCACUCGUUGAGGUUUAGCGGCGGACGGGUGAGUAACACGUAGGCAACCUGCCCAUCAGCCCGGGAUAACCCACGGAAACGUGAGCUAAGACCGGAUACGUCGCAGGGUCGCAUGACCUUGUGUGGAAAGACGGCGCAAGCUGUCGCUGACGGAUGGGCCUGCGGCGCAUUAGCUAGUAGGUGAGGUAACGGCUCACCUAGGCGACGAUGCGUAGGCGACCUGAGGGGGUGAACGGCCACACUGGGAAUGAGACACGGCCCAGACUCCUACGGGAGGAAGCAGUAGGGAAUCGUCGGCAAUGGACGCAAGUCUGACCGAGCAACGCCGCGUGAGUGAGGAAGGGUUUCGGCUCGUAAAACUCUGUUGCCAGGGAAGAACGCCCGUGAGAGUAACUGCUCAUGGGGCGACGGUACCUGGGAAGAAAGCCCCGGCUAACUACGUGCCAGCCGCCGCAGUAA
RNAcentral lists this ribosomal RNA (518 nucleotides) under uncultured bacterium. RNAcentral describes it as "partial 16S ribosomal RNA". It matches the Rfam family "Bacterial small subunit ribosomal RNA", at positions 28 to 523 of the family's 1533-position model. The record is from RNAcentral.